UUUAAGGGUGGGCAGUUCGGGUGGUGGCAGGUUGGGCAAUUGUGAGUGUCUGUGUGAUGGUGAGGAAAGCGGAAGUUACGAAUGGAAUGCAGGUAGCUUAGGAACGAGGCAGACAGCUUAGGACCGAGGCAGACAGCUUAGGAUUGAGGCAGUUGGUAGGAAUCAGUGGGGGGCACUUGUCAUUUCGGCCAUGGGAUUCAAAAUUUGCAUGUCGAGUAUUUGUUACUAAUGUUUGUUGUUUUACAUUCGCUAGGUAUGCGCGUGGCUGCUCUCAAGAGAAGAUCAACUUAGCAAUUUGCAUUAGCAUUUGCAAGGUUGGUCUUCUCUUCGCCCCGCUACCCCGGCUGGCUCUCCGAGUGCUACCUCUACUUUAAGCAGAAGCACUUUUGCUUCUGCUUGAAGUAGAGGUAGCACUUGGGGAGCCGGCCGGGGUAGAGGGAUUUUUUUUAUUUUUUUUUUCAAUUCCCAUGGGAAUUGAAUUUUGAAUUAAAAAGGAGUCUCUUGUAUAAUUAAUGAACAAUUUAUUGAAAAGAACUUGUAAUUUUACAAUUUGAAUAACAAUAAAAAGAGAACAACCACUGCAUACUGUAUACUUAUUUAAAUAACAAUAGAAGAAAACAGAACAUGACACAAAGAGAACAAUUAACAUUGUGUUUACACAAGUGAAAACACAACAUUAAACAUGUGAACUUGGUCGUUUCAAGAUGAAAGUUUAUACUUCAAGAUAAAUAAUUACAAAACAACUCUGAUGAUAAAUUUUACGAGUUUGACGAAGAAAUCUAAAGCGUAAAAUCGAGUUGUUUCACAAUCACAAAAAUAUAUAUGGCUCAAAGACAAAGUAAAUCGAACUUGCUUUUACUUUUUUUGGAUACGGACUAAGUGUUUUUGGUAAAGUGAACAAAAAGUUUCACUUGAGUAUGGAAAUAAUGAUUUUAUCGCGAUGUCUAGAUGCUAAGAGAAUUCAAUUCUUUGUAAUACUCAACUGAACAUAUAUAAGAACAUUUUUUCAAUUGCCAAAUCGAGAAAUACUUAAAUUUGAAAUCAUCUCUGUCUUUCGGAGCCACAUAUUUUUGAGCGUCGUUUUUUAACCUGACAACUUUGAAUUGAUUAUAUAUAAUGUUAAUACUAAUUCAACUGAUGAAAAUGCAGUUCAAUAAAAUUUUAAAAGAAUGUUAUUAUUUCUCCAAUACUGAUUGAUUUUUCGAACAAAAAUUUGAAUUAAAUUUGCUUUGCUCAAUUAAGAAAAUGGUACAUUUCUCGUCCUUGAUAAAUUCAGUAAAAUGAUACACAUUGAUCCACCAUUUUAUAAACAAACAUCUCCUAGAUUUCACGUGGGGAAAAGUUGUCCUGUUAUAUAAUUAUUUGUAUAUUUUAAAACAACAACUUUUUGAUUUUAUUAUGAAAUAUUUUUGAUGCAAAACAUGUAGCAACCAUUUACAGAAGCACACAAAAUAUUGUUGAACCAAACUUUCAAAUGUUCAUAAAAGAUUUUCUGAUUUAUAUCCUUCUAUAAACUGG
This is a non-coding RNA of Paramuricea clavata, 1518 nucleotides long. NCBI's taxonomy places the organism in Eukaryota, Metazoa, Cnidaria, Anthozoa, Malacalcyonacea, Plexauridae. The record is from the annotation of a GenBank genome assembly.